GACGAACGCUGGCGGCGUGCUUAACACAUGCAAGUCGAACGGAAAGGCCCUGCUUUUGUGGGUUGCUCGAGUGGCGAACGGGUGAGUAACACGUGAGUAACCUGCCCUUGACUUUGGGAUAACUUCAGGAAACUGGGGCUAAUACCGGAUAGGAGCUCCUGCUGCAUGGUGGGGGUUGGAAAGUUUCGGCGGUUGGGGAUGGACUCGCGGCUUAUCAGCUUGUUGGUGGGGUAGUGGCUUACCAAGGCUUUGACGGGUAGCCGGCCUGAGAGGGUGACCGGCCACAAGGGGACUGAGAGACGGCCCAGACGCCUACGGGAGGCAGCAGUGGGGAAUAUGGCACAAUGAGCGGAAGCCUGAUGCAGCAACGCCGCGGGCGGGAUGACGGCCUUCGGGGUGUAAACCGUUUUCGCCUGUGACGAAGCGUGAGUGACGGUAAUGGGUAAAGAAGCACCGGCUAACUACGUG
This 468-nucleotide ribosomal RNA is filed under the name uncultured bacterium. RNAcentral's name for it is "partial 16S ribosomal RNA". It matches the Rfam family "Bacterial small subunit ribosomal RNA", at positions 28 to 507 of the family's 1533-position model. The record is from RNAcentral.